CUUCUGCUGUGAUGAAUUCAUGAAAAUUUCACAUGUCAGACUUCAGAGAGAAAUCUAUGAGAAGAUAUUCAUGUAUCUGAGCAAAAU
Molecule: non-coding RNA, 87 nt
Organism: Solanum tuberosum (potato)
Lineage: Eukaryota; Viridiplantae; Streptophyta; Magnoliopsida; Solanales; Solanaceae
Source: Rfam